AAAACAAACCCAAACACGAAAUGUGAAUGCACGCUCAUGGUCCAUUGAAUCGCUUAAUAAGUUGUGGGCAGGGCGAAAAAGUCCCUGUGUUGUAUAAGUAAUCUACAGGAGCUUUACUGGCUCUUGAUUCGCAAUGAUUCUCGUCAAACAAUCCCGCCAGUGUUUUCUUUCCUGUGUUUUUCUCUUGUGUUUCAUACAUUGUGGACUCUGUUGCAAAGGUUCUGUGUUCCUUAACUCUCUAAGUAUUAUUUCGGAAUGCAGAAAUCAGAUGGUUGAUAUACUUUCAAUAAUGUGCGGGUUUCCCUCCUUUAUGGACUUUUUUCCCGCCGGUGAUGCCUCUUCUUCUCAACAUUUAACAAUGGACGAUUUAGAGUGUGAGUGCUGCUUUCGAUCUUGUUUUCCCAGUGACUUUACCAAAUACUGCCAUUUAUAUAAAAAGUGAAACUUUUCAGUGAACAAGAUUCGGAGAGGAACAGAAUUUGUUGUAAAUUCCUGAAUUUAUAUAACCUUCCGACGGUGAUUGUUGAACUUUUAAUGAUAUUGUUAAGUUUUACUUAUAAAAUGUAUUUUAAAAUAA
This is a long non-coding RNA of Saccostrea echinata, 577 nucleotides long. RefSeq lists it as uncharacterized. The record is from RefSeq and is a predicted model, not a curated record. NCBI's taxonomy places the organism in Eukaryota, Metazoa, Mollusca, Bivalvia, Ostreida, Ostreidae. The transcript has 2 exons.